ACGGAGGGUGCAAGCGUUGUCCGGAAUCACUGGGCGUAAAGGGCGCGUAGGCGGCUCAUAAAGGCUGUGGUGAAAGUUCGGGGCUCAACCCCGAAUCGGCCGUGGCGACUUGUGGGCUGGAGCACUGUAGAGGCGGGUGGAAUUCCGGGUGUAGCGGUGGAAUGCGUAGAGAUCCGGAAGAACACCAGUGGCGAAGGCGGCCCGCUGGGCAGUGGCUGACGCUGAGGCGCGACAGCGUGGGGAGCAAACAGGAUUAGAUACCCUGGUAGUCCACGCCGUAAACGAUGGGCACUAGGUGCUUGGGGGAGCGACCCUCUGAGUGCCGGCGCUAACGCAUUAAGUGCCCCGCCUGGGGAGUACGGCCGCAAGGCUG
Molecule: ribosomal RNA, 373 nt
Filed under: uncultured bacterium
Lineage: Bacteria
Description: bacterial SSU rRNA
Rfam family: Bacterial small subunit ribosomal RNA
Source: RNAcentral